UCAAAAUCGAGUCAACCAAAAUGGAUAUUAUUCCUCAAGAGAAUUAGUUAUGAUCCCCGGAGAUCCUGCGGAGAUCUCAACGAUUCCUAGUGUGAAAAAGUAUAGAGAAUGUGAAACCGUUGGCAUCGCCUGCUCGUUUUUGCUCCAUUGGUCAAAAAUAAGCAUUCUUUGAAGCAGUGUUUUGUC
Molecule: unclassified non-coding RNA, 186 nt
Filed under: Neodiprion lecontei (redheaded pine sawfly)
Lineage: Eukaryota; Metazoa; Arthropoda; Insecta; Hymenoptera; Diprionidae
Description: uncharacterized LOC124295364, transcript variant X1
Source: RNAcentral